Molecule: ribosomal RNA, 623 nt
Filed under: uncultured archaeon
Lineage: Archaea
Description: bacterial SSU rRNA
Rfam family: Archaeal small subunit ribosomal RNA
Source: RNAcentral
AUAAUAAUCCAUAGAUUAGAUACACUGGAAUGUUCUUUAGUCGAAAAUUUGGGCGCCUUAGAAUGAAUCCUGCGGUCGAUUAGGUUGUGGUUGGGGUAACGGCCCAACAAGCCUGUAAUCGAUACGGGUUGUGUGAGCAAGAGCCCGGAGAUGGAAUCUGAGACACGAUUCCAGGCCCUACGGGGCGCAGCAGGCGCGAAAACUUUACAAUGCAGGAAACUGUGAUAAGGGAACUCCGAGUGCCCGUAUACGCGGGCUGUCCAGGUGUUUAAAAAUCAUCUGAAGAAAGGGCCGGGCAAGACCGGUGCCAGCCGCCGCGGUAAUACCGGCGGCUCGAGUGGUGGCCACUAUUAUUGGGCUUAAAGCGUCCGUAGCUGGACCGAUAAGUCUCUUGGGAAAUCCGCCGGCUCAACCGGCGGGCGUCUAAGGGAUACUGUUAGUUAGGGACCGGGAGAGGUGAGAGGUACUCCGGGGGUAGGAGUGAAAUCCUGUAAUCCUCGGGGGACCACCGAUGGCGAAGGCAUCUCACCAGAACGGCUCCGACAGUGAGGGACGAAAGCUGGGGGAGCGAACCGGAUUAGAUACCCGGGUAGUCCCAGCCGUAAACUAUGCGCGUUAGGUGU